RNAcentral lists this ribosomal RNA (253 nucleotides) under uncultured bacterium. Its description in RNAcentral is "partial 16S ribosomal RNA". It matches the Rfam family "Bacterial small subunit ribosomal RNA", at positions 524 to 776 of the family's 1533-position model. The record is from RNAcentral.
UACGGGGGGGGCAAGCGUUGUUCGGAAUUACUGGGCGUAAAGGGCUCGUAGGUGGCCAACUAAGUCAGACGUGAAAUCCCUCAGCUUAACUGGGGAACUGCGUCUGAUACUGGAUGGCUUGAGUUUGGGAGAGGGAUGCGGAAUUCCAGGUGUAGCGGUGAAAUGCGUAGAUAUCGUGAGGAAGACCAGUGGCGAAGGCGGAUCUCUGGACAGUUCCUGACGCUGAGGCACGAAGGCCAGGGGAGCAAACAGG